CCUGCCCCCCGCCCAGGGACAGCCCCCCGAAAGGGGGAUUAAUACCUGGUACUCCGGAAGCGGCGCAUGCCGCAUCCGGGAAAGCUCUCGCGGCGGGGGAUGGGGUCGCGGCCCAUCAGGUAGACGGCGGGGCAGAGGCCCACCGUGCCGACGACGGGUAGCCGGGUUGAGAGACCGACCGGCCACAUUGGGACUGAGAUACGGCCCAGACUCCUACGGGAGGCAGCAGUGGGGAAUUUUGCGCAAUGGGGGCAACCCUGACGCAGCAACGCCGCGUGCGGGACGAAGGCGUCCGCGUCGUAAACCGCUUUCAGCGGGGAACACCUAAACGAGGGUACCCGCAGAAGAAGCCCCGGCUAAAUACGUGCCAGCAGCCGCGGUAAUACGCAUGGGGCGAGCGUUAUCCGGAUUCAUUGGGCGUAAAGCGCGCGUAGGCGGAGCGCUAAGCGGGACCUCUAACCCGAGGGCUCAACCCCCGGCCGGGUCCCGAACUGGCGCUCUCGAGUGCGGUAGGGGAGAGCGGAAUUCCCGGUGUAGCGGUGGAAUGCGCAGAUAUCGGGAAGAGCACCGACGGCGAAGGCAGCUCUCUGGGCCGAAACUGACGCUGAGGCGCGAAAGCUGGGGGAGCGAACAGGAUUAGAUACCCUGGUAGUCCCAGCCGUAAACGAUGGGAGCUAGGUGUGGGGGAUGAGAUCCCCCGUGCCGCAG
Molecule: ribosomal RNA, 708 nt
Filed under: uncultured bacterium
Lineage: Bacteria
Description: bacterial SSU rRNA
Rfam family: Bacterial small subunit ribosomal RNA
Source: RNAcentral